CCUACGGGAGGCAGCAGGGAGGAAUAUUGGUCAAUGGCCGGAAGGCUGAACCAGCCAAGUCGCGUGAAGGAAGAAGGAGCUAUGGUUUGUAAACUUCUUUUAUAGGGGAAUAAAGGUAUCCACGUGUGGAUAUUUGCAUGUACCCUAUGAAUAAGCAUCGGCUAACUCCGUGCCAGCAGCCGCGGUAAUACGGAGGAUGCGAGCGUUAUCCGGAUUUAUUGGGUUUAAAGGGUGCGUAGGUUGUUUUUUAAGGCAGCGGUGAAAGUUUGUGGCUCCACCCUAAAAUUGCCGUUGAAACUGGCAUCCUUGCGUGUGUUUGCGGUAGGCUGCCUGCGUGGUGUAGCGGUGCACUGCAUAGCUCUCACGC
This 367-nucleotide ribosomal RNA is filed under the name uncultured bacterium. RNAcentral's name for it is "partial 16S ribosomal RNA". It matches the Rfam family "Bacterial small subunit ribosomal RNA", at positions 338 to 702 of the family's 1533-position model. The record is from RNAcentral.